AAGACUAUAGACCUGCGGAGUACCUGCGGAAGGAUCAUUAGUGAACGCCCUCACGGGCUUAUAACUAUUCCAAACCUCUGUGAACCGUGCCCUUCGGGGCUAUUUUACAAACAUGGUGUAAUGAACGUCAUAUAUCAUAACAAAACAAAACUUUCAACAACGGAUCUCU
RNAcentral lists this unclassified non-coding RNA (169 nucleotides) under soil metagenome. RNAcentral describes it as "partial contains 5.8S ribosomal RNA, internal transcribed spacer 2, and large subunit ribosomal RNA". The record is from RNAcentral.